UGGCUGGCUAAGUGAUUUGGACCUACCAUAUUCCAUAUGAAAUCUACUCUCUGCACCUCUAUGUAUUUCUACUUGAGGUAUUUGCAUAUAUCCCUACUCUAUGUGCGUGGACUUUUGAUGAGACCUUGGCUCUUUAGUGAGGAUUAUGGGGCCAUCAUCUUUGUAGUACAGUAUCAUAGUAUCCGAUGGUAUGACUCCAAUUUCGUAAUUAUCAUAAGAACUAGAAUGUAUCCUGCACAUCUACAGUAUACUUAGCUUCCAUUGGUCCAUUGCUUGGAACCCUUCCAACAUACCGAACCAACAUAACUCAAGAAUACAUACUGAUGUA
This 328-nucleotide long non-coding RNA is filed under the name Elaeis guineensis (African oil palm). RNAcentral describes it as "long non-coding RNA (EGUI_LNC053111)". Lineage: Eukaryota; Viridiplantae; Streptophyta; Magnoliopsida; Arecales; Arecaceae. The record is from RNAcentral.